UGUCUGCUUGUGCAGCAACGUCCACCCGUACACGCCUCUUCAUUUGUGCGUCAAGGUUGAUCUUGCCUUGRGCAYCAGUUGGGGUUCCUGUGCUGCAUACCUACUKGAUGGAAUUUUGUCGUUCUAUSGAUGUCCCUUUUCAUCGUGCGUCGCUCGCGCGGCGUGGGGUGAACCUAGAAGCGGUCUCUGUGAUCCAUCCCGUCGAUGCGAAUGCGUCGGCUGCAUGGCCCAUUGAGCACCGCUUGGUCUCUCGGAUACAGAACCUUAUGYGGGUACGGGGCCCUUGCGGCCUAGUGUUUUACCCUCRUCAAGCGUUCUGGCUUCUUCAAAACGACCGUUGAUCGCGCGUCGGCCUGUCCGUGCGGGAUCGACGACGUCGAAGAGGAAUGC
This 390-nucleotide unclassified non-coding RNA is filed under the name Archidasyphyllum diacanthoides. RNAcentral describes it as "partial external transcribed spacer". Lineage: Eukaryota; Viridiplantae; Streptophyta; Magnoliopsida; Asterales; Asteraceae. The record is from RNAcentral.